This 323-nucleotide ribosomal RNA is filed under the name uncultured bacterium. Its description in RNAcentral is "bacterial SSU rRNA". It matches the Rfam family "Bacterial small subunit ribosomal RNA", at positions 30 to 355 of the family's 1533-position model. The record is from RNAcentral.
AUUGAACGCUGGCGGCAUGCCUUACACAUGCAAGUCGAACGGCAGCACGGGAGCAAUCCUGGUGGCGAGUGGCGAACGGGUGAGUAAUAUAUCGGAACGUGCCCAGUCGUGGGGAUAACGUAGCGAAAGCUACGCUAAUACCGCAUACGAUCUACGGAUGAAAGCGGGGGAUCGCAAGACCUCGCGCGAUUGGAGCGGCCGAUAUCAGAUUAGGUAGUUGGUGAGGUAAAGGCUCACCAAGCCGACGAUCUGUAGCUGGUCUGAGAGGACGACCAGCCACACUGGGACUGAGACACGGCCCAGACUCCUACGGAGGCAGCAGU